AGAGUUUGAUCCUGGCUCAGAUUGAACGCUGGCGGCGUGCUUAAUACAUGCAAGUCGAGCGGUAACAGGUGUAGCAAUACAUGCUGACGAGCGGCGAACGGGUGAGUAAUGCUUCGGAAUCUGCCUAGUAGUGGGGAAUAACUAACCGAAAGGUUAGCUAAUGCCGCAUACGACCUAUGGUUGAAAGCGGGGGAUCGUAAGACCUCGCGCUAUUGGAUGAGCCGAAGUCGGAUUAGCUAGUUGGUGAGGUAACGGCUCACCAAGGCUACGAUCCGUAGCUGGUCUGAGAGGACGACCAGCCACACUGGGACUGAGACACGGCCCAGACUCCUACGGGAGGCAGCAGUAGGGAAUAUUGGACAAUGGGGGCAACCCUGAUCCAGCGACGCCGCGUGUGUGAAGAAGGCCUGCGGGUUGUAAA
RNAcentral lists this ribosomal RNA (421 nucleotides) under uncultured bacterium. RNAcentral's name for it is "bacterial SSU rRNA". It matches the Rfam family "Bacterial small subunit ribosomal RNA", at positions 8 to 429 of the family's 1533-position model. The record is from RNAcentral.